RNAcentral lists this ribosomal RNA (253 nucleotides) under uncultured bacterium. RNAcentral's name for it is "partial 16S ribosomal RNA". It matches the Rfam family "Bacterial small subunit ribosomal RNA", at positions 524 to 776 of the family's 1533-position model. The record is from RNAcentral.
UACGUAGGUGGCAAGCGUUGUCCGGAUUUACUGGGCGUAAAGAGCGCGCAGGCGGUCGUUCAAGUCGCGUGUGAAAGCCCCCGGCUCAACUGGGGAGGGUCACGCGAUACUGAUCGACUCGAAGGCAGGAGAGGGAAGUGGAAUUCCCGGUGUAGUGGUGAAAUGCGUAGAUAUCGGGAGGAACACCAGUGGCGAAGGCGGCUCGCUGGGACGGUACUGACGCUGAGGCGCGAAAGCGUGGGGAGCAAACAGG